Molecule: ribosomal RNA, 305 nt
Filed under: uncultured bacterium
Lineage: Bacteria
Description: bacterial SSU rRNA
Rfam family: Bacterial small subunit ribosomal RNA
Source: RNAcentral
GGAUACCUACGGGGGGCAGCAGUGGGGGAUAUUGGGCAAUGGGCGCAAGUCUGACCCAGCAACGCCGCGUGAAGGAAGAAGGCUUUCGGGUUGUAAACUUCUUUUAUGAGGGACGAAACAAAUGACGGUACCUCAUGAAUAAGCCACGGCUAACUACGUGCCAGCAGCCGCGGUAAUACGUAGGUGGCAAGCGUUAUCCGGAUUUACUGGGUGUAAAGGGCGUGUAGGCGGGACUGCAAGUCAGAUGUGAAAAUUAUGGGCUCAACCCAUAACCUGCAUUUGAAACUGGAGUUCUUGAGUGAUGG